UUAUGGCUCAGAACGAACGCUGGCGGCGCGUUUAAGCAUGCAAGUCGAGCGGCAAGGGCCUUCGGGCCCCUAGAGCGGCGGACGGGUGAGUAACACGUGGACAAUCUGCCCCCCGGCCCGGGAUAGCCCAGGGAAACCUGGAUUAAUACCGGAUGAGACGGGACCCGCGAUGGCGGGAUCCGGGAAAGGCGCUGCGGCGCCGCCGGGGGAUGAGUCUGCGUCCCAUUAGCUAGACGGCGGGGUAACGGCCCACCGUGGCGACGAUGGGUAGCCGGCCUGAGAGGGUGGACGGCCACAUUGGAACUGAGACACGGUCCAGACUCCUACGGGAGGCAGCAGCUAAGAAUCUUCCGCAAUGGGCGAAAGCCUGACGGAAGCGACGCCGCGUGAACGAAGAAGGCCGUGAGGUUGUAAAGUUCUUUUCGGGAGGGGGAACAACCGUGGCAGGGAAUGGCCGCGGGAUGACGUGAAUCCCGGAAUAAGCCCCGGCUAACUACGUGCCAGCCGCCGC
Molecule: ribosomal RNA, 511 nt
Filed under: uncultured bacterium
Lineage: Bacteria
Description: bacterial SSU rRNA
Rfam family: Bacterial small subunit ribosomal RNA
Source: RNAcentral